This 1370-nucleotide long non-coding RNA is filed under the name Anolis carolinensis (green anole). RNAcentral's name for it is "lncRNA (ENSACAG00000045360.1)". The record is from RNAcentral. Lineage: Eukaryota; Metazoa; Chordata; Lepidosauria; Squamata; Anolidae.
AUGGAGCGAUGGGAGUGGACUGGAUGGCCUUUGGGGGUCUCUUCCAACUCUAGGAUUCUUACAGCCCUAUUUCUCCAUCUCUAUAAGGCUGGUUGGACGUCUGUCGGGAGAGUUUUGAUGGUGUCAUGGAGGGACGGGAUCCUCCAUCUCUAUAAGGCUGGUUGGACGUCUGUCGGGAGAGUUUUGAUGGUGUCAUGGAGGGAUGGGAUCCUCCAUCUCUAUAAGGCUGGUUGGACGUCUGUCGGGAAAGUUUUGAUGGUGUCAUGGAGGGACGGGAGUGGACUGGAUGGCCUUUGGGGGUCUCUUCCAACCCUAGGAUUCUUACAGCCCUAUUUCUCCAUCUCUAUAAGGCUGGUUGGACGUCUGUCGGGAAAGUUUUGAUGGUGUCAUUGACGGACGGGAGUGGACUGGAUGGCCUUUGGGGGUCUCUUCCAACCCUAGGAUUCUUACAGCCCUAUUUCUCCAUCUCUAUAAGGCUGGUUGGACGUCUGUCGGGAGAGUUUUGAUGUUUUCAUGGAGCGAUGGGAGUGGACUGGAUGGCCUUUGGGGGUCUCUUCCAACUCUAGGAUUCUUACAGCCCUAUUUCUCCAUCUCUAUAAGGCUGGUUGGAUGUCUGUCGGGAGAGUUUUGAUGGUGUCAUGGAGGGAUGGGAUCCUCCAUCUCUAUAAGGCUGGUUGGACGUCUGUCGGGAAAGUUUUGAUGGUGUCAUGGAGGGACGGGAGUGGACUGGAUGGCCUUUGGGGGUCUCUUCCAACCCUAGGAUUCUUACAGCCCUAUUUCUCCAUCUCUAUAAGGCUGGUUGGACGUCUGUCGGGAGAGUUUUGAUUGUGUCAUGGAGGGAUGGGAUCCUCCAUCUCUAUAAGGUGGUUGGACAUCUGUCGGGAGAGUUUUGAUGGUGUCAUGGAGGGACGGGAGUGGACUGGAUGGCCUUUGGGGGUCUCUUCCAACUCUAGGAUUCUUACAGCCCUAUUUCUCCAUCUCUAUAAGGCUGGUUGGAUGUCUGUCGGGAGAGUUUUGGUUGUGUCAUGGAGUGGACUGGAUGGUCUUUGGGGGUCCCAACUAUUAUUUCUCUCAAUGGACCGUCUAAUGCCUAUGACUGUUUUGCUUCUGUGUUGGAAACCGCCCUGAGUCCUCUCGAGGAGAUAGAGGGGUAUAUAAAUAAAGUUUUAUUAUUAUUAAUAAUAAUAAUAAUAAUAAUAAUAAUAAUAAUACUUUAUUUUUGUAUCCCGCCAUCUCCCCAAAGGGACAAGCCCAAACAACAACAUAACUUAACAUACAGCCAAGUUUAAAAACAAUAAUUUAAAACAAUAAAAUAAUAAUAAAUAUAACAAUAACUUUAACCUGUUAUUUAACCGUGAUUAUUAUUAUUA